This 4206-nucleotide long non-coding RNA is filed under the name Capsicum annuum. Its description in RNAcentral is "long non-coding RNA (CANN_LNC003696)". The record is from RNAcentral. Lineage: Eukaryota; Viridiplantae; Streptophyta; Magnoliopsida; Solanales; Solanaceae.
UCAAUCAAAGGUAUCUAUUAUCAUUUGAUGGAUGUGCCGUAUAUAGCACACUUGAAGGGUCCAACAAAGAUCUUGGUUUGAUCAAGUUCGGGCCUGAUCGAGACGUGUUAUAAUGUGGAAUCAGUGUGGGAUUGACGAUUACACCAAGGUACUCGGAAAUCUCUCACUGUCAUCCUCUUUGAUAAUGCAUAUUUGAAGGUUAUUCAAGAGGCAUCAGUAGACUUACCAUCUUCUGGUGAAAAGACGUAGUCUAUAAAGGAGCAAGCCAUAAGGACUCUGUAGAUCGCGAGAAUGCAUGUUCUAAUACUUGCACGGGCUCAUUUGCUUCCAACAAUCCAACAAAGUGAGUUUCACAGAAGGAAGGUGUAACACUCCGUAUUCAAGUACGUGUAUAGGCGUAUUCAAGUACGUGUAUUGGUCUUAUUUAUAUGGAAUUUAUUUUAUUUUAUUUUAUUUAUACUGGCACUCUACUCUCCAAUAGACGUUUCCUCACCUAGUCCCGGAGACCUAACCUCAAGGCUUAGAAAGAAUAAAGAUCGGGGAACCUGCUAGCGCAGAGAAUCAAUGCGCCAAAGCUAUCGGCGCUGACCGCGUCCAUCUUAUCUUCUACGGGGUAGGUAGAGAGGCUUUUGCUACAGCCGAUGGUCUUCGCCUUCGGUGACUUCUCCUGGAGGAUGGUCAAGUAAAAGUAGCCGCUCAACACUCACGAGGGAGAUAGCCUACGCUAAUCACGCACCUCCAAAGAGGCAUCGAGACUGACCCGUUGAUGAAGCCCGGAAUAAAGAGACUUCUCACUCCUGUUAGUGAGAGAGUGGUCACAGUUCGUCACCUCGGGGGCUUCUCUGAAAGAGAGGGUAAGGAUUAAGGCUAGGUUAGGUCUACUCCACAAGAGCAAUCAGAAAUAAAGGACAGAGAGUCCCCUGUGAAGAUUUAUAGGCCAGGGUAAAGAUAGAUCGAAAUUCGCGCUCGGGUGUGAAUUGGUAGCUCACAAUCUAUGAAUUCACAUCGCCAGAAGGCUUAUAAAGGAUAGACAAUUCCUUGGGUGACCGGGGGGCUCUCGAUAAGAGCACAACCUUUCGCCUCGACGAGGCUAGGCCAGAGUGGAAGCUCUCCGGAUAAAGUGCUGACCGCAAUCAGGGAGUUCCUACGCUUAACCAGAUUAUUAGUCUUGGAAAAACUCCUCGUCUGCACCUCCCAUAGAUAAUGCGACAUCGGUCGAGGUCGGUGGGAACAAUCAAUUUCCUUGCACAGUGACUCAUACAUGCUUUAUUUAAUUGUAAAUUUGGCGUCCGGGCUGCCCAGUUGGACUAUGUCAGACAAGUCCUGAGAGUCCGGUGUUCCGGGUUGUGCACAAGAGGGCUGGGGAUCAUUCUCAACAAUCGGCGGCUCUUGGAGAAGGGGCACCCGACUCACUCAUAACCUCAUUAGCAGGAUCGAUUUGUUGACGUUUUGCAGCAGGCUCGCAUGAGGGACCGUCUGACCUUGCUCGUUUCCUGAACAAUGCCCGACGGCAAACACAAUAAAAGGAUAAGGAUAAGGCAAGACAACAGACCAGAGCAGUAGACCCGGCAUAACAAAGAAGGUUUUCCAUUAUUUAACUAGUUUAAACUAGGUACGACCAGCGCGGUUGUUCAUCUUUCAUUUUAUUAUUCCAAACCAAGGGAAUUCUGUGGGGACCUCCCUGGAAAUAGCAAUCCCCAAAAGGGGUUGUUCUUUCCUCGGGUAUGUAGUGGGAGAAGGAGACGUCCUUCGUUAUUACCACCAAUCAUAUCCCGAUUGGUCGAUGAGCUAUAUUAAUAACUCAUUGAUCAUAGGGUGGUUGAGCCAUGUGACUGAGGAAAAUAGUAGGAAACCUUGUUUCUUGCCCACAGUUGGGUUAUUGAGGUUCUCUCAAUCUUAGACUGAUUGAACUUCUGACCAAGAAUGUCCAUCGUCAAUCUGAGAGAAGGAAGAAAUUCCUUUGAUCUAUUCGGUGCUGGACUGUUGGCUAAUGAGAUCCCAUAUUUGCCUAAAAGGGCUUGUAUGGUAUCAAAUUGUCCGACAAUUCUUUGGUUCUCGAUACUUCUUUGUUGGAGGUAUGAGAUAUCCUUCUUUGGUCAGCCGAUUAGGUUACUAUAGAUCUUGGUUACUCUUUCCGUUGUCCUACUACUACAUAGUGUGGUUGGACUGCGAGUUUGAAUCCCGCAGAGUGACCUUCCCUUUAUGAUCACACCUUGCUUGGUGAUGAUAUCCUAAUCACCAAUAAGCAAGUGGCUCUUUCAGUACAGAAAAGUUACUGGAUAGACUCAGCGUUUGGACUUCUGAUUCAAAGUCACACAUCAGAAUAAGAAUGCUGGGUUUGCCAAAGGGAUGUUGGGGUAAAAUCCCAUCAUAUCACUGAGGCGAAUACUGUCCUGUAGGACAGCCUUUAAUCUGUGCCCUUUAACUGAUGAAUACCUGAUCGUAAUAGGUAUUUAGGAGUUAGUAGGGCUAGGAUUAAAGUCUUGUUCUCAUCUUCUCUCCAACCAUUUGGUAGGAUUGAGGAUGACUGUUAGUAAGCUUAACCGGUCACGUCCACUACCUUCAUAUAUUUGAUUGGAAGGAAAAAAAACCUCAAUCUGUGUUUGAAGGGAAAGAUAGUGGAUUUCUCCGAAGGAUAAAACCCAAGGAGAUACAUCUCUUUCUGUAGAGAUGGUGUUUAAUAGGGAUGGGCAUCAUUGGUCCCACUGUAACCCGUAAUGGGUGAGUAGUUCCAUAUGAUGUUUAGUACUAUACGGUUGUGUGCUCAAUCAAAGGUAUCUAUUAUCAUUUGAUGGAUGUGCCGUAUAUAGCACACUUGAAGGGUCCAACAAAGAUCUUGGUUUGAUCAAGUUCGGGCCUGAUCGAGACGUGUUAUAAUGUGGAAUCAGUGUGGGAUUGACGAUUACACCAAGGUACUCGGAAAUCUCUCACUGUCAUCCUCUUUGAUAAUGCAUAUUUGAAGGUUAUUCAAGAGGCAUCAGUAGACUUACCAUCUUCUGGUGAAAAGACGUAGUCUAUAAAGGAGCAAGCCAUAAGGACUCUGUAGAUCGCGAGAAUGCAUGUUCUAAUGCUUGCACGGGCUCAUCUGCUUCCAACAAUCCAACAAAGUGAGUUUCACAGAAGGAAGGCUGGUUUGUCAAUGCUUGAACUGAUUGAUCUAAGUGAGCUACGAGGUUAGUCUUCUAAGAUCAACUUGCUUCAAAGUGCCCAAACAUUAUUUGUUAAUUGAAGGAAUGAUCCUAUCAGUGAUUAUGUACUAGGCUUAUCUAAUGAAUUGAGUCUUCCAAGAAAGGUUUCUAAUGAAUCUGCUAAUUGAGGUUCUAGAUUCGUUCAAAAGGCAGAAAGGAAUAGGCUAAGGGCCGUACCUUAAUGAUCCCUAACCAUAUUGAUGUUCCUGAGUUCUAGUCUUUCUGGUAGCCAAUGAUCUAAGGGAGCUAGCAGUGCAAAGAUACUCAAAAGUGGUACGCGCACAUAAAAAGCGGUUGGACGGUGUCUUUCUCUGUUUUGUUCCUUCCUCGGCAAGCUUGGGAGUUUCCUGAUGUAAGCUCCCUGGGUACGGUUUCGGAGUUUAUGUAAAUGCCCUAUCUUCAAAGGGAGCUGCUGACUUAAGGUAUCCCCUGAUCCGAGGGUGAGCUAGAAUUUCGUAUGGUGAAGAGGAAAGGAAGAAGUCAUUGUAAAGGAAGACGACAUUGACCAUUUCCGCUGCCUGCCUAAAGGCUUAUUGGUAGCUCUUAGGUUCUCUGUCAGUAGAGUGAUUGCCAAAACCUAGGUAUGUUUUCGGAGAAUAAUAAGAAGAGACGGUUGUAGCUUUUAGAGACUAUCCUCUGCAGCUGUAGCUACGUGGAAGCCAGCUGCUUAAAGACAAGCCCCCUAACCAUUCCGCUAUUCAUGCCCUAAAGCAAGGGAAUCCGCUCUGACCCACCACUAUGGUAGGAAUUGCCAGAUUUACAGUUUAUGAAUCCUUGUAAUACAAGUUCUUUCCUCUAACGAUGGCUACUUCCUAUUCAAGUGCCACUUAUCUUAACACAACUCGGGCUAAUCGACUCCCAGCCUAGCUAGACCUGGUGAAAGCAAUCAAGCCAAAGCAAGACUGAUUCCUUCAACGGUAAGAGCUGCAGAUGAAAUAGCAGUGGUUAUGCCGACAUUUUCCGUUAUCUUAUCGUUGGAUUACCGGAUUCCAUUCUUUCGGUUAGGAAGGAGGUUCAC